UCUUUGCGCAUGUGCGAGACAUCGCGCUCUUUCAGCCCAGCUCUCCAUCCACUGGCUGCAACCAACACGAAGGCGACGUUUAGGGGACGCUGCAAAAUAAAUGGUGCAACUCCACUACUUGGCCUUUGCGAUUAAGGAUGCAGAAAGGGACCUAGCAACCACAGUCAUGGGGAUUUACAUGAUCCAAAGAGAUGGGGAUCAGGAGCCAGAGGAUCUGGAAGUUGUGACUGAAGGCAUCAAAGUUCUUUGCAACUUAGGCAGCGUCAUCAUGGUGUUCAUGCUUUUUGGGCUCUUGCCCUUGAUAUGAGUUUUCCAGACAACCUCAAGUAUACCUUCAAAUUUUUCCAGAAGAUCAUUUGGAAAUUAGAUGAGCACAAGUUGAAUGCAAAAAUACAACAGCUGAAAAUCAAGCUGUUUGCAUAAGGGGACUAAACCAAGUGACAGUGUACCUUGAUAGAGGGUUUAAGACUGAGAUUACUUGGGCUUGGACAAGUGUUAACACCCAGAAAGUUUGCCCAUUUCACCUCGCCAUCACAAUUUCAUGACUGUUACUCUACCUUCUCAGUGCCAUUCAUCUCUCGUUAUUUGAUUUCAUGACUUGAAAUGGAUCUAAUAACAGCUCAACAUACUGUACUUUUUUUCCCUUCAUGUUGCAAGUGACAUCUAUUUAAGUUGUAUUUAAAUGACUUCCUUGUUAUGAUUGCACUGGAUGUUUAUUUUUCUAUUUAUUUUUUGCUUUGUCUAACAGUGGUCCACAAUACUUUUUUUUUUUUUUACAUGACACGCCAACCACCAAAGCUCCUCACUUUAAAUGAACAGAAGUGGGGAAUUUUGUAUUUGCCAAAGCCAUGUCAAUUGCAGCGCCUAGAAUACAUUCAAAUAUAGGUUUUUGCAGUGA
This is a long non-coding RNA of Micropterus dolomieu (smallmouth bass), 898 nucleotides long. RefSeq lists it as uncharacterized. The transcript is spliced from 2 exons. NCBI's taxonomy places the organism in Eukaryota, Metazoa, Chordata, Actinopteri, Centrarchiformes, Centrarchidae. The record is from RefSeq and is a predicted model, not a curated record.